Molecule: long non-coding RNA, 1412 nt
Organism: Triplophysa rosa
Lineage: Eukaryota; Metazoa; Chordata; Actinopteri; Cypriniformes; Nemacheilidae
Exons: 4
Source: RefSeq, a predicted model, not a curated record
ACAGUGUAACUAGCCUUAUAGAAUAAUUUGUCCAAGCAACAGGUUCUGGAAGAAAUAUUAAAAGUCACUCUUAUAUGUCAUUGAUAGGAAAUUUGAUGCAAGUGUUUUAUAAAACGAAAGGUAAGAUUUUUUCAAAAGGCUAUUUCAUUUAUAGGCUGUUUGUCACUUGUGCCUUCAUUAGAUUAGAUAUUAAAUAUAGCCUUAUUCAUUCACUUUCAUCAUACUUUUAGGUGUUUAUUUUUGAGCUGGACAGCCCUAAUCCUCAUCUACGGUUUUUUUAUAUUAAAACUUUAUAACUUUAUGGAGAUGCAGAUUUCAUUUUCCAACAGGACUUGGCACCUGCACACAGUGCCAAAGCUACCAGUACCUGGUUUAAGGACCAUGGUAUCCCUGUUCUUAAUUGGCCAGCAAACUCUUUUGACCUUAACUCCAUAGAAAAUCUAUGGGGUAUUGUGAAGAGGAAGAUGCGAUAUGCCAGACCCAACAAUGCAGAAGAGCUGAAGGCCACUAUCAGAGCAACCCGGGCUCUCAUAACACCUGAGCAGUGCCACAGACUGAUCGACUCCAUGCCACGCCGCAUUGCUGCAGUAAUUCAGGCAAAAGGAGCCCCAACUAAGUAUUGAGUGCUGUACAUGCUCAUACUUUUUAUGUUCAUACUUUUCAGCUGGCCAAGAUUUCUAAAAAUCCUUUCUUUGUAUUGGUCUUAAGUAAUAUUCUAAUUUUCUGAGAUACUGAAUUUGGGAUUUUCAUUAGCUGUCAGUUAUAAUCAUCAAAUUAAAAGAAAUAAACAUUUGAAAUAUAUCAGUCUGUGUGUAAUGAAUGAAUAUAACAUACAAGUUUCACUUUUUGAAUGGAAUUAGUGAAAUAAAUCAACUUUUUGAUGAUAUUCUAAUUAUAUGACCAGCACCUGUAUAUGACAAAGAGUGGUCCAAACAUUAUUCACUAUAUCUUCUUUUAAGCUCAACAGAAGAAAGACAGAAGGAUUUAAUAUGAUGAGAUGCACAGAGACAACCCAAAAUAACCAGGACAAAAAGGUUUCGACUCACUUUGACUUCAUUGUUGGUGUAAUUGGCAGUGCUGUUCAUGAGGUCAAGCGUGAGGAGUUCCACUGAAUCACUAAGAUGUGAACAUUCAAGAGUGGACAGAUCCAAAAACACAUGAACAGUUUCUCUCGAAUAAGCCCGCAGGUCUCUAUGCAGUCAAGAAUGAUGGCGCUCCAAAGCUUUUCAAUGGCCGGCCGCUGAAGAACAGCAGAAUCGUCCUCCACAUGUCUCAGCCAGAACUCUAAAGUACUCUCAGGCUUGAACAAACCCGGUGCUGAUGUGAUUAUCUUCAUCUAAACCCAUGCCUAACUUAGCUGCUAUUAAGGAAAGCACGGAGAAGCCUUCAGAGACAUCAAGCACGUAGACCGG